AGGACGAACGCUGGCGGCGUGCUUAACACAUGCAAGUCGAGCGGAAAGGCCCUUCGGGGUACUCGAGCGGCGAACGGGUGAGUAACACGUGAGCAACCUGCCCUUGGCUCUGGGAUAGCCUCCGGAAACGGGGAUUAAUACCGGACAUUCACUUCCUUCCGCAUGGUUGGUGGUGGAAAGUUUUUUCGGCCAGGGAGGGGCUCGCGGCCUAUCAGCUUGUUGGCGGGGUAACGGCCCACCAAGGCGACGACGGGUAGCC
Molecule: ribosomal RNA, 259 nt
Filed under: uncultured bacterium
Lineage: Bacteria
Description: partial small subunit ribosomal RNA
Rfam family: Bacterial small subunit ribosomal RNA
Source: RNAcentral